RNAcentral lists this ribosomal RNA (445 nucleotides) under uncultured bacterium. Its description in RNAcentral is "partial 16S ribosomal RNA". It matches the Rfam family "Bacterial small subunit ribosomal RNA", at positions 354 to 796 of the family's 1533-position model. The record is from RNAcentral.
GUGAGGAAUAUUGGACAAUGGGCGCAAGCCUGAUCCAGCCAUGCCGCGUGCAGGAAGACGCAUCUAUGGUGUGUAAACUGCUUUUGUACGGGAAGAAACACUCCCUCGUGAGGGAGCUUGACGGUACCGUAAGAAUAAGGAUCGGCUAACUCCGUGCCAGCAGCCGCGGUAAUACGGAGGAUCCAAGCGUUAUCCGGAAUCAUUGGGUUUAAAGGGUCCGUAGGCGGUUUAAUAAGUCAGUGGUGAAAGCCCAUCGCUCAACGAUGGAACGGCCAUUGAUACUGUUAGACUUGAAUUACAAGGAAGUAACUAGAAUAUGUAGUGUAGCGGUGAGAUGCUUAGAUAUUACAUGGAAUACCAAUUGCGAAGGCAGGUUACUACUUGUGGAUUGACGCUGAUGGACGAAAGCGUGGGGAGCGAACAGGAUUAGAUACCCUGGUAGUCC